AUUGAACGCUGGCGGCAGGCCUAACACAUGCAAGUCGAGCGGAUGAAGGGAGCUUGCUCCUGGAUUCAGCGGCGGACGGGUGAGUAAUGCCUAGGAAUCUGCCUGGUAGUGGGGGAUAACGUCCGGAAACGGGCGCUAAUACCGCAUACGUCCUGAGGGUGAAAGUGGGGGUUCUUCGGACCUCACGCUAUCAGAUGAGCCUAGGUCGGAUUAGCUAGUUGGUGGGGUAAAGGCCUACCAAGGCGCCGAUCCGUAACUGGUCUGAGAGGAUGAUCAGUCACACUGGAACUGAGACACGGUCCAGACUCCUACGGGAGGCAGCAGUGGGGAAUAUUGGACAAUGGGCGAAAGCCUGAUCCAGCCAUGCCGCGUGUGUGAAGAAGGUCUUCGGAUUGUAAAGCACUUUAAGUUGGGAGGAAGGGCAGUAAGUUAAUACCUUGCUGUUUUGACGUUACCAACAGAAUAAGCACCGGCUAACUUCGUG
This 484-nucleotide ribosomal RNA is filed under the name uncultured bacterium. RNAcentral's name for it is "partial 16S ribosomal RNA". It matches the Rfam family "Bacterial small subunit ribosomal RNA", at positions 30 to 507 of the family's 1533-position model. The record is from RNAcentral.